AACGAACGCUGGCGGCAGGCCUAACACAUGCAACUCGAGCGGGCAUUUCGGUGCUAACAGAGGACGAGUGAAUAAAGCGUGAGAACGUGCCCUUUUCUGAGGACAACUCAUGGACAACUGAGGGCAACACCGCAUACGCCCUUUUGGGGAAAGAUUUAUCGGAGAAGGAUCGGCCCGCGUUGGAUUAGGUAGUUGGUGGGGUAAUGGCCCACCAAGCCGACGAUCCAUAGCUGGUUUGAGAGGAUGAUCAGCCACACUGGGACUGAGACACGGCCCAGACUCCUACGGGAGGCUGCAGUGGGGAAUCUUAGACAAUGGGGGCAACCCUGAUCUAGCCAUGCCGCGUGAGUGAUGAAGGCCUUAGGUGUGUAAAGCUCUUUCAGCUGGGAAGAUAAUGACGGUACCAGCAGAAGAAGCCCCGGCUAACUCCGUG
RNAcentral lists this ribosomal RNA (433 nucleotides) under uncultured bacterium. Its description in RNAcentral is "partial 16S ribosomal RNA". It matches the Rfam family "Bacterial small subunit ribosomal RNA", at positions 29 to 507 of the family's 1533-position model. The record is from RNAcentral.